RNAcentral lists this ribosomal RNA (497 nucleotides) under uncultured bacterium. Its description in RNAcentral is "partial 16S ribosomal RNA". It matches the Rfam family "Bacterial small subunit ribosomal RNA", at positions 28 to 507 of the family's 1533-position model. The record is from RNAcentral.
GACGAACGCUGGCGGCGUGCCUAAUACAUGCAAGUUGAGCGCUGAAGGUUGGUACUUGUACCAACUGGAUGAGCAGCGAACGGGUGAGUAACGCGUGGGGAAUCUGCCUUUGAGCGGGGGACAACAUUUGGAAACGAAUGCUAAUACCGCAUAAAAACUUUAAACACAAGUUUUAAGUUUGAAAGAUGCAAUUGCAUCACUCAAAGAUGAUCCCGCGUUGUAUUAGCUAGUUGGUGAGGUAAAGGCUCACCAAGGCGAUGAUACAUAGCCGACCUGAGAGGGUGAUCGGCCACAUUGGGACUGAGACACGGCCCAAACUCCUACGGGAGGCAGCAGUAGGGAAUCUUCGGCAAUGGACGAAAGUCUGACCGAGCAACGCCGCGGGAGUGAAGAAGGUUGUCGGAUCGUAAAACUCCGUUGGUAGAGAAGAACGUUGGUGAGAGUGGAAAGCUCAUCAAGUGACGGUAACUACCCAGAAAGGGACGGCUAACUACGUG